Non-coding RNA from Ictidomys tridecemlineatus (thirteen-lined ground squirrel), 319 nucleotides. Lineage: Eukaryota; Metazoa; Chordata; Mammalia; Rodentia; Sciuridae. The record is from RefSeq and is a predicted model, not a curated record.
AGCCCCGCGGAGGAUGCCGGGAGCGGUGGUUCCCGCGCCCCCACUGCCUCAUGGGAGUUGUGGUUUUCCCGCCUCUUCUCUCAGCUUUCCUCCAAGGCUUUGGUCUGGCUCCCCCUUGUUCUGAGCCCAAAGCCUAGCCGCUAGUAACAAAACCGUGUGAGGAUACAAGGAUGCCUCUCUUGCCCCCUUUUAUUCACUUUGGCACUGGAGACUCUGGUUGGUGUGUUAAGACAAGAAUAAGAAGUUAAAGACAUCUGGAUUAGAAGUUCUCGGCGGACACAACAUCUUUGUAUGUGGUGCUGAGGAUCGAACCCGGGCC